Molecule: ribosomal RNA, 253 nt
Filed under: uncultured bacterium
Lineage: Bacteria
Description: partial 16S ribosomal RNA
Rfam family: Bacterial small subunit ribosomal RNA
Source: RNAcentral
UACGGAGGGUGCAAGCGUUAAUCGGAAUUACUGGGCGUAAAGCGUGCGUAGGCGGUUUGUUAAGUCAGAUGUGAAAGCCCUGGGCUCAACCUGGGAACUGCAUUUGAUACUGGCAGGCUAGAGUAUGGUAGAGGGAAGUGGAAUUCCGGGUGUAGCGGUGAAAUGCGUAGAUAUCCGGAGGAACACCAGUGGCGAGGGCGACUUCCUGGACCAAUACUGACGCUGAGGUACGAAAGCGUGGGUAGCAAACAGG